CAUGUCUUUUUGAUUAUAAUUUAAGGUCUAACCUGCUCAAUGAUUUUAAUUAAAUUGCCGCAGUAUUCUGACUGUGCAAAGGUAGCAUAAUAAUUAGUUUUUUUAUUGGAAGCUGGAAUGAAUGGUUGGACGAAAUAAUUUCUGUCUCUUUAUAAUUUUUUUUUGAAUUUAAUUUUUAAGUUAAAAAGCUUAAAUUUUUUUAAAAGACGAGAAGACCCUAUAGAGUUUUAUUUUUUAUUUUAUUAUUAUUGUUAAGAAUUUAAAGUUUUAAUUUAACAAAAAAUUUAGUUGGGGUGAUUUAAAGAUUAAUUGAACUCUUUAGAUUAAGAUCAUUGAUUAAUGAAUUGAGAAUCUAUAUUUUUAAAUAUAAAAGAAAUUACCUUAGGGAUAACAGCGUAAUUUCUUUUUAGAGUUCUUAUUGAAAGAGAAGUUUGCGACCUCGAUGUUGGAUUAAAAUUUAUUUUGGGUGAAGAAGCUCAAUAAUUAAGUCUGUUCGACUUUUAAAAUUUUACAUGAUCUGAGU
Molecule: ribosomal RNA, 523 nt
Filed under: Lamellipalpus pacholatkoi
Lineage: Eukaryota; Metazoa; Arthropoda; Insecta; Coleoptera; Lampyridae
Description: partial 16S ribosomal RNA
Rfam family: Bacterial large subunit ribosomal RNA (bases 387-523)
Source: RNAcentral